AGCGAACGCUGGGCGGCAGGCUUAACACAUGCAAGUCGAGCGGGCCUUUCGGGGUCAGCGGCGGACGGGUGAGUAACGCGUGGGAACGUGCCCUCUGGUUCGGAAUAACUCAGGGAAACUUGAGCUAAUACCGGAUACGCCCUUUUGGGGAAAGGCUUGCUGCCGGAGGAUCGGCCCGCGCCCUAUCAGCUUGUUGGUGGGGUAAUGGGCCUACCAAGGCGACGACGGGUAGCCGGCCUGAGAGGGUGACCGGGCCACACUGGGACUGAGAUACGGCCCAGACUCCUACGGGAGGCAGCAGUGGGGAAUAUUGCACAAUGGGCGCAAGCCUGAUGCAGCGACGCCGCGUGAGGGAUGACGGCCUUCGGGUUGUAAACCUCUUUUCAUAGGGACGAAGCGCAAGUGACGUUACCUAAUAGAAGAAGCACCGGCCAACUACGUGCAAGCAGCCCCGGUAAUACGGUAGGGUCCGAGCCUUGUCCGGAUUACUGGGCGGAAAGAGCUCGUAGCGGAUUGUCGCGUUGUUCGGGAAACCUCACAGCUUAACUUGUGGCCGUACGGCAAUACGGAAGAUUAAGAGUACUGUCUGGGAUUCGUGGAAUACUGGGUGUAGCGGUGAAUGCGCGGUUUCGGGAGCAACAACAGUGGCUAAGUGUGUCUUUUGAGUUGUAGCCGACGUGAUGAGGACACUUUGAACUAGCGGAAUUCAUAUCGGGUGGUCUAGGGAGAUUCUUCUUUGAGUGCGGCUGGGGGGCGCUUGUCUUCAGGGGGGCUUAAACGCGCCUUCGCGCUUUAAAAAAAAAAAAAAA
Molecule: ribosomal RNA, 809 nt
Filed under: uncultured Methylophilaceae bacterium
Lineage: Bacteria; Pseudomonadati; Pseudomonadota; Betaproteobacteria; Nitrosomonadales; Methylophilaceae
Description: bacterial SSU rRNA
Rfam family: Bacterial small subunit ribosomal RNA
Source: RNAcentral